This 253-nucleotide ribosomal RNA is filed under the name uncultured bacterium. RNAcentral describes it as "partial 16S ribosomal RNA". It matches the Rfam family "Bacterial small subunit ribosomal RNA", at positions 524 to 776 of the family's 1533-position model. The record is from RNAcentral.
UACGUGGGGGGCAAGCGUUGUUCGGAAUUACUGGGCGUAAAGGGCUCGUAGGCGGCCAACUAAGUCAGACGUGAAAUCCCUCGGCUUAACCGGGGAACUGCGUCUGAUACUGGAUGGCUUGAGUUUGGGAGAGGGAUGCGGAAUUCCAGGUGUAGCGGUGAAAUGCGUAGAUAUCUGGAGGAACACCGGUGGCGAAGGCGGCAUCCUGGACCAAUUCUGACACUGAGGAGCGAAAGCCAGGGGAGCAAACGGG